Molecule: ribosomal RNA, 301 nt
Filed under: uncultured bacterium
Lineage: Bacteria
Description: partial 16S ribosomal RNA
Rfam family: Bacterial small subunit ribosomal RNA
Source: RNAcentral
CAGCCGCCACGGGAAUACGAAGGGUGCAAGCGUUACUCGGAAUUACUGGGCGUAAAGCGUGCGUAGGUGGUGGUUUAAGUCCGUUGUGAAAGCCCUGGGCUCAACCUGGGAAUUGCAGUGGAUACUGGGUCACUAGAGUGUGGUAGAGGAUAGUGGAAUUUCCGGUGUAGCAGUGAAAUGCGUAGAGAUCGGAAGGAACAUCUGUGGCGAAGGCGACUAUCUGGGCCAACACUGACACUGAGGCACGAAAGCGUGGGGAGCAAACAGGAUUAGAUACCCCGGUAGUCCCUGUCUCUUAUAA